This 253-nucleotide ribosomal RNA is filed under the name uncultured bacterium. Its description in RNAcentral is "partial 16S ribosomal RNA". It matches the Rfam family "Bacterial small subunit ribosomal RNA", at positions 524 to 776 of the family's 1533-position model. The record is from RNAcentral.
UACGGGGGGGGCAAGCGUUGUUCGGAAUUACUGGGCGUAAAGGGCUCGUAGGUGGUCAACUAAGUCGGACGUGAAAUCCCUCGGCUUAACCGGGGAACUGCGUCCGAUACUGGAUGACUUGAGUUCGGGAGAGGGAAGCGGAAUUUCCGGUGUAGCGGUGAAAUGCGUAGAUAUCGGGAGGAACACCGGUGGCGAAGGCGGUUCUCUGGGCCUUACCUGACGCUGAGGAGCGAAAGCGUGGGGAGCGAACAGG